UACAGAGGGUGCAAGCGUUAAUCGGAAUUACUGGGCGUAAAGCGCACGUAGGCGGUUUUUUAAGUCAGAUGUGAAAGCCCCGGACUCAACCUGGGAAUUGCAUUUGAAACUGGGAAACUAGAGUGUGUGAGAGGGGGGUAGAAUUCCAAGUGUAGCGGUGAAAUGCGUAGAGAUUUGGAGGAAUACCAGUGGCGAAGGCGGCCCCCUGGCACAACACUGACGCUCAGGUGCGAAAGCGUGGGGAGCAAACAGG
This 253-nucleotide ribosomal RNA is filed under the name uncultured bacterium. RNAcentral's name for it is "partial 16S ribosomal RNA". It matches the Rfam family "Bacterial small subunit ribosomal RNA", at positions 524 to 776 of the family's 1533-position model. The record is from RNAcentral.